This 836-nucleotide non-coding RNA is filed under the name Pan troglodytes (chimpanzee). The record is from RNAcentral. Lineage: Eukaryota; Metazoa; Chordata; Mammalia; Primates; Hominidae.
GGAGCGCCUCUGACUGACUUCCCCCAUGUGUCCGUGUGGCCACACCGUGCUACUUUCAGAGGCAGUGGGCUUUUCGCUAAGGGAUAAAAAGAAGUAAAACCUUGCCUUUAGCGCAGCUCUCCUUCACUGGGCAGAUUGCUCUCCCUCCCCACUCUCCCAGGCCCAAAUUGGAUCUCAGCGCCUGGGAGCUCCAACUUUAGCAAGUGCGAAAUCCUGUCUUCGGUUUUGGAAUUUUCAUCCGCACAGACUAUAUCAGCCACGGAUAGGAUAUGUGAGAAUACCAGCAUGUCAAGGCUGGGAAUCAUCCUUAGGCAUCACCUAGCCAGUCCUGCCUCUCAUUUUAAGGCCAGUAGCUGUGUACUCUUCCUGGGGAAUCUGGUGAGGUGCAGUAUUGCACCGUACCCAUUUAUCACCAGGAAGUUUGCAAGCUUCUACGAAAUAGCCAAUAAUUUUACUGCCUCCAUCAUGCUUUGGACGAGCCCAGAUCAGAGAUACAGUACUCUUGGUGACAUCAAUAACCUCAGGUUUCCCAGGAGGAUCUAAAACAAAAAGAGGAACACCUGGAGAUGAAGACAAGGAAGAUGUCAGUUUCUACAUUAAGUAACAAACUAGAAAGAAAACAUAACUUUUUUUCUCCUUCACAAAAACAUACCAAAUGGGAACUGCGCAACCAUCUUUGGAGAUGUGAGAGGCUCUGAAAUGCCAAAUCGGUUUUCAGCACGGACCCGGAAGAUGUACUCCUGGCCUGGGAUCAGCUUUCCAACCCUGCAGGAAGUUUUUGUGACUGAAGCUAGAGCUGUGACCCAGUCACCUCGGCUUACAUCACACUUCUCCAC